GACGAACGCUGGCGGCAUGCCUAAUACAUGCAAGUCGAGCGAACAGAUGGAGUGCUUGCACUUCUGACGUUAGCGGCGAACGGGUGAGUAACACGUAAGGAAUCUACCUAUAAGCGGGGGAUAACAUUCGGAAACGGGUGCUAAUACCGCAUAAUAUCUUCUUCCGCAUGGAAGAAGAUUGAAAGACGGCUCUGCUGUCACUUAUAGAUGACCUUGCGGUGCAUUAGUUAGUUGGUGGGGUAACGGCCUACCAAGACGAUGAUGCAUAGCCGACCUGAGAGGGUGAUCGGCAACAUUGGGACUGAGACACGGCCCAAACUCCUAAGGGAGGCAGCAGUAGGGAAUCUUCCGCAAUGGGCGAAAGCCUGACGGAGCAAUGCCGCGUGAGUGAAGAAGGCCUUCGGGUCGUAAAACUCUGUUAUAAGAGAAGAACAAAUUGUAGAGUAACUGCUACAGUCUUGACGGUAUCUUAUCAGAAAGCCACGGCUAACUACGUGCCAGCAGCCGCCGUAA
RNAcentral lists this ribosomal RNA (513 nucleotides) under uncultured bacterium. Its description in RNAcentral is "partial 16S ribosomal RNA". It matches the Rfam family "Bacterial small subunit ribosomal RNA", at positions 28 to 523 of the family's 1533-position model. The record is from RNAcentral.